RNAcentral lists this ribosomal RNA (24 nucleotides) under Elatine hexandra. RNAcentral's name for it is "partial 26S ribosomal RNA". Lineage: Eukaryota; Viridiplantae; Streptophyta; Magnoliopsida; Malpighiales; Elatinaceae. The record is from RNAcentral.
ACGCUCACAAUCGCGACCCCAGGU